RNAcentral lists this ribosomal RNA (497 nucleotides) under uncultured bacterium. RNAcentral describes it as "partial 16S ribosomal RNA". It matches the Rfam family "Bacterial small subunit ribosomal RNA", at positions 28 to 507 of the family's 1533-position model. The record is from RNAcentral.
GAUGAACGCUGGCGGCGUGCCUAAUACAUGCAAGUCAAGCGAACAGACGAGGAGCUUGCUCCUCUGACGUUAGCGGCGGACGGGUGAGUAACACGUGGAUAACCAACCUAUAAGACUGGGAUAACUUCGGGAAACCGGAGCUAAUACCGGAUAAUAUAUUAAACCGCAUGGUUCAAUAGUGAAAGGCGGUUUUGCUGUCACUUAUAGAUGGAUCCGCGCCGCAUUAGCUAGUUGGUAAGGUAACGGCUUACCAAGGCAACGAUGCGUAGCCGACCUGAGAGGGUGAUCGGCCACACUGGAACUGAGACACGGUCCAGACUCCUACGGGAGGCAGCAGUAGGGAAUCUUCCGCGAUGGGCGAAAGCCUGACGGAGCAACGCCGCGUGAGUGAUGAAGGUCUUCGGAUCGUAAAACUCUGUUAUUAGGGAAGAACAAAUGUGUAAGUAACUAUGCACGUCUUGACGGUACCUAAUCAGAAAGCCACGGCUAACUACGUG